UACGUAGGGUGCGAGCGUUAAUCGGAAUUACUGGGCGUAAAGCGUGCGCAGGCGGUUUUGUAAGUCAGAUGUGAAAUCCCCGGGCUUAACCUGGGAACUGCGUUUGAAACUACAAGGCUAGAGUGUAGCAGAGGGGGGUGGAAUUCCACGUGUAGCAGUGAAAUGCGUAGAGAUGUGGAGGAACACCGAUGGCGAAGGCAGCCCCCUGGGUUAACACUGACGCUCAUGCACGAAAGCGUGGGGAGCAAACAGG
Molecule: ribosomal RNA, 253 nt
Filed under: uncultured bacterium
Lineage: Bacteria
Description: partial 16S ribosomal RNA
Rfam family: Bacterial small subunit ribosomal RNA
Source: RNAcentral